RNAcentral lists this ribosomal RNA (468 nucleotides) under uncultured bacterium. RNAcentral describes it as "partial 16S ribosomal RNA". It matches the Rfam family "Bacterial small subunit ribosomal RNA", at positions 28 to 507 of the family's 1533-position model. The record is from RNAcentral.
GACGAACGCUGGCGGCGUGCUUAACACAUGCAAGUCGAACGGAAAGGCCCUGCUUUUGUGGGGUGCUCGAGUGGCGAACGGGUGAGUAACACGUGAGUAACCUGCCCUUGACUUUGUGAUAACUUCAGGAAACUGCGGCUAAUACCGGAUAGGAGCUCCUGCUGCAUGGUGGGGGUUGGACAGUUUCGGCGGUUGGGGAUGGACUCGCGGCUUAUCAGCUUGUUGGUGGGGUAGUGGCUUACCAAGGCUUUGACGGGUAGCCGGCCUGAGAGGGUGACCGGCCACAUUGGGACUGAGAUACGGACCAGACGGGUACGGGAGGCAGCAGUGGGGAAUAUUGCACAAUGGGCGGAAGCCUGAUGCAGCAACGCCGCGUGCGGGAUGACGGCCUUCGGGUUGGAAACCGCUUUCGCCUGUGACGAAGCGUGAGUGACGGUAAUGGGUAAAGAAGCACCGGCUAACUACGUG